AUUGAACGCUGGCGGCAUGCUUUACACAUGCAAGUCGAACGGUAACAGGCCUUCGGGUGCUGACGAGUGGCGAACGGGUGAGUAAUGCAUCGGAACGUGCCCAGAGGUGGGGGAUAACGCAGCGAAAGCUAUGCUAAUACCGCAUGUGAUCUGAGGAUGAAAGCGGGGGACCAGGCAGCAAUGUUUGGCCUCGCGCCUUUGGAGCGGCCGAUGUCAGAUUAGGUAGUUGGUGGGGUAAAGGCCUACCAAGCCGACGAUCUGUAGCUGGUCUGAGAGGACGACCAGCCACACUGGGACUGAGACACGGCCCAGACUCCUACGGGAGGCAGCAGUGGGGAAUUUUGGACAAUGGGCGCAAGCCUGAUCCAGCAAUGCCGCGUGCGGGAAGAAGGCCUUCGGGUUGUAAACCGCUUUUGUACGGAACGAAAAGGCUCUGGCUAAUACCUGGGGCUGAUGACGGUACCGUAAGAAUAAGCACCGGCUAACUACGUG
RNAcentral lists this ribosomal RNA (492 nucleotides) under uncultured bacterium. RNAcentral's name for it is "partial 16S ribosomal RNA". It matches the Rfam family "Bacterial small subunit ribosomal RNA", at positions 30 to 507 of the family's 1533-position model. The record is from RNAcentral.